AGCUCGUGUCGUGAGAUGUUGGGUUAAGUCCCGCAACGAGCGCAACCCUCGUCCUUAGUUGCUAACAGUUCGGCUGAGCACUCUAGGGAGACUGCUUCGCAAGGAGGAGGAAGGUGAGGACGACGUCAAGUCAUCAUGGCCCUUACGGCCAGGGCUACACACGUGCUACAAUGGGGCGUACAGAGAGCUGCGAUACCGCGAGGUGGAGCCAAUCUCUUAAAAGCGUCUCUCAGUUCGGAUUGUUCUCUGCAACUCGAGAACAUGAAGCUGGAAUCACUAGUAAUCGCAGAUCAGCUAUGCUGCGGUGAAUACGUUCCCGGGUCUU
RNAcentral lists this ribosomal RNA (325 nucleotides) under uncultured Sulfuricurvum sp. Its description in RNAcentral is "bacterial SSU rRNA". It matches the Rfam family "Bacterial small subunit ribosomal RNA", at positions 1057 to 1382 of the family's 1533-position model. Lineage: Bacteria; Pseudomonadati; Campylobacterota; Epsilonproteobacteria; Campylobacterales; Sulfurimonadaceae. The record is from RNAcentral.